Molecule: ribosomal RNA, 1221 nt
Filed under: uncultured bacterium
Lineage: Bacteria
Description: bacterial SSU rRNA
Rfam family: Bacterial small subunit ribosomal RNA
Source: RNAcentral
GUAUGUAAUUUGCCCAUAACUGGGGGAUAGCCUUCCGAAAGGAAGAUUAAUACCCCAUAACCCAACGAGGUGGCAUCACUUUUUUGGUAAAACUCCGGUGGUUAUGGAUAAGCAUGCGUCUGAUUAGCUAGUUGGCGAGGUAACGGCUCACCAAGGCAACGAUCAGUAGGGGGUCUGAGAGGAUGAUCCCCCACACGGGUACUGAGACACGGACCCGACUCCUACGGGAGGCAGCAGUAAGGAAUAUUGGACAAUGGAGGCAACUCUGAUCCAGCCAUGCCGCGUGAAGGAUGAAGGCGCUACGCGUUGUAAACUUCUUUUCUACCAGAAAAAACUCUUGGUUUCGGUACCAAGACUGAUUGUACGGUAGGAAUAAGCAUCGGCUAACUUCGUGCCAGCAGCCGCGGUAAUACGAAGGAUGCAAGCGUUAUCCGGAUUCACUGGGUUUAAAGGGUGUGCAGGUGGGGUAAUAAGUCAGUGGUGAAAGCCCCCGACUCAAUCGGGGAACUGCCAUAGAUACUGUUAUUCUUGAGUGUGGUUGAGGUGGGCGGAAUAUGACAUGUAGCGGUGAAAUGCGUAGAUAUGUCAUAGAACACCGAUCGCGAAGGCAGCUCGCCAAACCAUUACUGACGCUGAGGUGCGAAAGCGUGGGGGGCAAACAGGAUUAGAUACCCUGGUAGUCCACGCCCUAAACGAUGUCGACUAGCCGUUGGACUCAAUAUAAGGGUUUAGUGGCGCAGCUAACGCGUUAAGUCGACCGCCUGGGGAGUACGGCCGCAAGGUUAAAACUCAAAGGAAUUGACGGGGGCCCGCACAAGCGGUGGAGCAUGUGGUUUAAUUCGAUGCAACGCGAAAAACCUUACCUGGGUUUGACAUCCCCUGACAGGUGUAGAGAUACGCUUUUCUCUUCGGAGACAGGGAGUACAGGUGCUGCAUGGCUGUCGUCAGCUCGUAUCGUGAGAUGUCGGGUUAAGUCCCUUAACGAGCGCAACCCCUAUCCCUAGUUGCCACCAUUCAGUUGGGCACUCUAUGGAGACUGCCGGUGUUAAACCGGAGGAAGGCGGGGAUGACGUCAAGUCCUCAUGGCCCCUAUGUCCAGGGCUACACACGUGCUACAAUGGCCGGUACAAAGGGUUGCCAACCCGCAAGGGGGAGCUAAUCUCAGAAAGCCGGUCUCAGUUCGGAUUGGGUCUGCAACUCGACUCCAUGAAGCCCGAAUCG